AGGCUAAUACRUGUAUAUAACGACUUGGUCAACCGGGAAACUGGAAGGMUGGGGGUSGUGUGAAGMUUAACUGCAACACCGACCUAGGAAACGAUGCACAAUCAGACCACCACACAAACGGUCUCGUUUUGAGGCAAGUACCUUCGGGGAAAGCCAAAGGGCUUGACUGGGUGGCUCUUGCUUUGUGCUUCUGACCUAUCAACUCGAUGGCAGCGUAAGGGACAUGCUAUGGUUACAAUCAGGGUA
This 246-nucleotide ribosomal RNA is filed under the name Physarum leucophaeum. RNAcentral's name for it is "partial small subunit ribosomal RNA". The record is from RNAcentral. Lineage: Eukaryota; Evosea; Eumycetozoa; Physariida; Physaraceae.